Non-coding RNA from Benincasa hispida (wax gourd), 765 nucleotides. Lineage: Eukaryota; Viridiplantae; Streptophyta; Magnoliopsida; Cucurbitales; Cucurbitaceae. The record is from RefSeq and is a predicted model, not a curated record.
GUAAAGAAAAAAAAUUAUUAAUAAUAAAAAAAGAAACUUUACAAUCUCUCUCUCCCUCUCUUUCGCUUGUGCCACCCCCCUCCUAAAAUUUUCUUUCAUCUUCUUUGCUUAAGACCUAGCCGCCGCCUGACUCGCCGCUCAUUCGCUUGGAUCCGAAGUCGUCUUCGUCGAAGUGUCGUCGUCCAGCUGCGUCCUCAGCCGUCUCACUUCUCCAGCCGACCAAUCGCACGCGUCCGCUCAAGCCGUCGCCAGUUCGUUCGACCGCUUCGUUUGUGGGUUGACGCCGCUUGGUUCGUGAAGACGCCUUCAACUUCAGAUUUGGACGCGCGCUGCAGCCGUUUUGUCCGCCUUUGUCUGCCACCGUUCUUCCUUUCAUAGUCGUGCGUUCUUCAAAUUUCGCUUUUGCAGUCAUCAAAUUUAUGGGUUUUGGGCAGAUUUGGUGUCGCUUCAAGGCUCUGCUUGGCAAGGAGGGGAUAAGCUUGCUUGAACUAAUUUGGAUUUAUUUUGAGGUAAGUAAUUUUAUUCCUGGAACUGUUCACAGGAUAUAUGCUAGCAUAAUAGAUGAAUAUCAUAACAGAACGAUAGCAUGAUAAAUGGAUAGUAUAGUAUGACUGAUAUAUGUUCUUGUAUGAGAAUAUAAAAGAUUUAUUGUGCACGUAGAUACUUGGAUGAUAAUGUUGAGGUGUAUAUGUAUGUUAUAAAACCAUAUUGUGAUAAUUGUAAUGUUGAGACUGUGAUAGUGUCUUUACUGAUUAGUUAGAUGCC